This is a non-coding RNA of Mycena polygramma, 99 nucleotides long. The record is from the annotation of a GenBank genome assembly. Lineage: Eukaryota; Fungi; Basidiomycota; Agaricomycetes; Agaricales; Mycenaceae.
GACUCGGUGGUGGAUGGUUCACAUCUGCAGGUAUUAAUCCACCCCACUUAUGGGUUAAAUAAUUUGCAGAAGUUGCCUGUUCGACUCAGGCCCGAGUCA